AGCCCUUAGUAUUAAUGCAUUAAGGGUGAUAUCUGCCCACUGUUGGCGAUAUAAAGGGCCGCGGUACUUUGACCGUGCUAAGGUAGCAUAAUCAGUUGGCCUUUAAAUGGGGUCUGGAANGAAUGGAAGAACGGGGCUUAGCUGUAUCUUUGCAUUUUCUUCGAAUUUACUAAGUAGGUGAAAAGGCCUACGCAAGAAAAAAGACGAGAAGACCCUAAGAGUUUAUGUUUUUGUUGGGGCGACAUACGGCCAUUAUAACGCCGUAGAUAACAUAUAGGCAGGGAUAUUUCAUGUACAGAUAAACUACCUUAGGGAUAACAGCACUAUCUAAGUUUGGGUUGUGACCUCGAUGUUGGACUAGGAAAGUUAUUAGCUAGCCGCUAAUAAAGCUAAUUCUGUUCRAAUAUUUUUCUCCUACWU
Molecule: ribosomal RNA, 420 nt
Filed under: Philine exigua
Lineage: Eukaryota; Metazoa; Mollusca; Gastropoda; Cephalaspidea; Philinidae
Description: partial 16S ribosomal RNA
Rfam family: Bacterial large subunit ribosomal RNA
Source: RNAcentral